CCUACGGGAGGCUGCAGUGAGGAAUAUUGGUCAAUGGGCGCGAGCCUGAACCAGCCAAGUCGCGUGAAGGAUGACUGCCCUACGGGUUGUAAACCUCUUUUAUAAAGGAAUAAAGUGAGGCACGUGUGCCCUGUUGUAGGUACUUUAUGAAUAAGCAUCGGCUAACUCCGUGCCAGCAGCCGCGGUAAUACGGAGGAUCCGAGCGUUAUCCGGAUUUAUUGGGUUUAAAGGGUGCGCAGUGGGGCGUUUAAGUCAGUGGUAAAAGGUCGGGGCUCAACCUUGAAUUGCAAUUGAUACUGGGGGCCUUGAGUAGAGUUGAGGUAGGCGGAAUGCGUGGUGUAGCGGUGAAAUGCUUAGAUAUCGCGAAGAACCCCGAUUGCGAAGGCAGCUUACUAGCCUGACACUGACGUUGAUGCACGAAAGCGUGGGUAUCGAACAGGAUUAGAUACCCUUGUAGUC
RNAcentral lists this ribosomal RNA (459 nucleotides) under uncultured bacterium. RNAcentral's name for it is "partial 16S ribosomal RNA". It matches the Rfam family "Bacterial small subunit ribosomal RNA", at positions 338 to 795 of the family's 1533-position model. The record is from RNAcentral.